CACAGCCCCGCGCCGGCGGCUCCGGAGCACUCCAGGGCUGCUCUUAUUUAUAUGCAUCUUUUGCACCGAGCCAUUUUAUAAUCGACUGCGGAGCGGCACUCCAGCGCCGGCGACGGCUCAGAUGGAUCGUGCAGGACACAAAAUACAAAUAAAGGGUUCAUUCCCCCAACUUCUAUUGUUGGGUGUUUUCACUUCUCCUUGAUGCCUUGAGGAAGGAGCUGAGGGGAGGGAUCUGUGCUGUCCCAAAUUCGUGAGGGUCCUCCUUGCUGUGUCCUGAGAGGAAGAGGCUGGUGCAGGAAUUGAUUUCCUGGAGUUCCUGGUAUUAAUGAAGCCGCUGACCGCAGAUCUCCCGCAGCAAUAUCCCUCUCCCCACGAUAAUUCUCCAGACUCCAAACUUUUCAAAUGAGUUUUCGCAGUUUAAAAUUAAUAAUUGUUCUGUCUAGAACAAGGAU
This is a long non-coding RNA of Corvus hawaiiensis (hawaiian crow), 452 nucleotides long. RefSeq lists it as uncharacterized. NCBI's taxonomy places the organism in Eukaryota, Metazoa, Chordata, Aves, Passeriformes, Corvidae. The transcript has 3 exons. The record is from RefSeq and is a predicted model, not a curated record.